GAUGAACGCUGGCGGCGUGCCUAAUACAUGCAAGUCGAGCGAACGGACGAGAAGCUUGCUUCUCUGAUGUUAGCGGCGGACGGGUGAGUAACACGUGGAUAACCUACCUAUAAGACUGGGAUAACUUCGGGAAACCGGAGCUAAUACCGGAUAAUAUUUUGAACCGCAUGGUUCAAAAGUGAAAGACGGUCUUGCUGUCACUUAUAGAUGGAUCCGCGCUGCAUUAGCUAGUUGGUAAGGUAACGGCUUACCAAGGCAACGAUGCAUAGCCGACCUGAGAGGGUGAUCGGCCACACUGGAACGGAGACACGGUCCAGGCUCCGACGGGAGGCAGCAGUAGGGAAUCUUCCGCAAUGGGCGAAAGCCUGACGGAGCAACGCCGCGUGAGUGAUGAAGGUCUUCGGAUCGUAAAACUCUGUUAUUAGGGAAGAACAUAUGUGUAAGUAACUGUGCACAUCUUGACGGUACCUAAUCAGAAAGCCACGGCUAACUACGUG
RNAcentral lists this ribosomal RNA (497 nucleotides) under uncultured bacterium. RNAcentral's name for it is "partial 16S ribosomal RNA". It matches the Rfam family "Bacterial small subunit ribosomal RNA", at positions 28 to 507 of the family's 1533-position model. The record is from RNAcentral.